Molecule: ribosomal RNA, 214 nt
Filed under: uncultured Chloroflexota bacterium
Lineage: Bacteria; Bacillati; Chloroflexota
Description: uncultured Chloroflexi bacterium partial 16S ribosomal RNA
Rfam family: Bacterial small subunit ribosomal RNA
Source: RNAcentral
GGAGGAACACCGGCGACGACGACGGCCCCCUCGUGGCUCUUGGUGAUGAAGGGGAAAGACAGGGGAGGGAACGAGCCGAAAUACCCCGGUAGGUAGUCCACUCCCUGUUGGAUGCGAGGUGGGGGGGGAGAUAUCCCUCCGGGCCGAAGCUCCGCGUUAAGCAUCCCGCCUGGGGAGUACGGCCGCAAGGCUAAAACUCAAAUGAAUUGACGGG